Molecule: long non-coding RNA, 449 nt
Organism: Brassica napus (rape)
Lineage: Eukaryota; Viridiplantae; Streptophyta; Magnoliopsida; Brassicales; Brassicaceae
Exons: 2
Source: RefSeq, a predicted model, not a curated record
GGAUUGGAAUGAUUCAACGGAUGAGAUUAUUAGUUUAAGUUAUCCUCAACAUUGGCUCCCAUUGGUCGAACCCAUUGGAAGUAACGCCGUAUCUUCCUGAUAUAGGGAGUCAUCCUAUAUAUUCUACUACGCUAAUCGAUUCAUCUCUUCCCUCAAACCACCACAAGUCUCUCUCAUAGGUCGUAAUCCAUCUCAAGCCACCACAACACUAAGAGCCUUCACAAUCCUAUCCCAAUUCUGUUUCAACCGGCACGGUUUAGAUUAGAGCAUUAUCUUAGACAGCUACCAACUCUGAUGGAAGCAAAGAAGCAGUCAACACAGCUCAACCAGCCACAACAACCGCCACAACAAUUAGCGGUCAGCACAGCUCAGCCAGCCACAUCAAUAAGCACUCAAGGAAGCUCAACCUCAGGAGUAACUAAUGUAUACAAGCUAAGCAAAGCCGAGCU